This 84-nucleotide transfer RNA is filed under the name Lactiplantibacillus plantarum. RNAcentral describes it as "Lactobacillus plantarum tRNA-OTHER". It matches the Rfam family "tRNA". Rfam says of the family: Transfer RNA (tRNA) molecules are approximately 80 nucleotides in length. RNAcentral also lists the same sequence under 1 other name. The record is from RNAcentral. Lineage: Bacteria; Bacillati; Bacillota; Bacilli; Lactobacillales; Lactobacillaceae.
GCGAGUGUAGUUCAACGGUAGAACAAUUUCCCCUCGUUUCGAUACCCCGAAACCACUAUGCAGGUUCAACUCCUGCCGCUCGCU